This 21-nucleotide non-coding RNA is filed under the name Caenorhabditis elegans. The record is from RNAcentral. Lineage: Eukaryota; Metazoa; Nematoda; Chromadorea; Rhabditida; Rhabditidae.
UAUGCCCUUUUCCGUUUUUUG